This 301-nucleotide ribosomal RNA is filed under the name uncultured bacterium. Its description in RNAcentral is "partial 16S ribosomal RNA". It matches the Rfam family "Bacterial small subunit ribosomal RNA", at positions 509 to 807 of the family's 1533-position model. The record is from RNAcentral.
CAGCAGCCACGGGAAUACGAAGGGUGCAAGCGUUAAUCGGAAUUACUGGGCGUAAAGCGUGCGUAGGCGGUUUGUUAAGUCUGUUGUGAAAUCCCCGGGCUCAACCUGGGAAUGGCAAUGGAUACUGGCAAGCUAGAGUGUGUCAGAGGAUGGUGGAAUUCCCGGUGUAGCGGUGAAAUGCGUAGAGAUCGGGAGGAACAUCAGUGGCGAAGGCGGCAACCUGGCUCAUUACUGACGCUGAGGCGCGAAAGCGUGGGGAGCAAACAGGAUUAGAUACCCCAGUAGUCCCUGUCUCUUAUAC